Molecule: ribosomal RNA, 392 nt
Filed under: uncultured bacterium
Lineage: Bacteria
Description: bacterial SSU rRNA
Rfam family: Bacterial small subunit ribosomal RNA
Source: RNAcentral
AGCGCCGGGUGCGUAACGCGUGGGAAUCUGCCCUUGGGUUCGGAAUAACGUCGGGAAACUGACGCUAAUACCGGAUGAUGACGUUAAGUCCAAAGAUUUAUCGCCCGAGGAUGAGCCCGCGUCCGAUUAGGUAGUUGGUGGGGUAAGAGCCUACCAAGGCGACGAUCCUUAGCUGGUCUGAGAGGAUGAUCAGCCACACUGGGACUGAGACACGGCCCAGACUCCUACGGGAGGCAGCAGUGGGGAAUAUUGGACAAUGGGCGCAAGCCUGAUCCAGCCAUGCCGCGUGAGUGAUGAAGGCCUUAGGGUUGUAAAGCUCUUUUAUCCGGGACGAUAAUGACGGUACCGGAGGAAUAAGCCCCGGCUAACUUCGUGCCAGCAGCCGCGGUAAU